Molecule: ribosomal RNA, 2072 nt
Filed under: metagenome
Description: bacterial LSU rRNA
Rfam family: Bacterial large subunit ribosomal RNA
Source: RNAcentral
UAAAGCUACUAAGGGUGUACGGGGGAUGCCUAGGCACAUGGAGACGAUGAAGGACGUGAUAAGCUGCGAUAAGCCUCGGGUAGGUGCAAAUAACCUUAGAUCCGGGGAUUUCCGAAUGGGGUAACCCAUCUAGAUUAAUCUCUAGAUACUUCUGCUUGAAUACAUAGAGNAGAUAGAGUCAACGGAGUGAACUGACACAUCUAAGUAACUCCAGGAANAGAAAAUAAAAAUGAUUCCCUAAGUAGUGGCGAGCGAACGGGGAAGAGCCUAAACCAUCAACGUGUCAAGCUUNCAGGNNUUGCGCUGGUGGUGUUGUGGGGCAANUUUUNNGNUAACUGNAAUUANCNNAGUGAGUCAAAAAUUCGAUGGUUAGGUGAACGGUCUGGAAAGUCCGAUCAUAGAAGGUGAUAAUCCUGUAACCNAAAACCUGAGAACUCGCUUAAUUUGUUCCCAAGUAGCGCGGGACACGAGAAAUCUUGUGUGAAUCUGCCGGGACCAUCCGGUAAGGCUAAAUACUCCCAUGUGACCGAUAGUGAACUAGUACCGUGAGGGAAAGGUGAAAAGUACUCCUAGCGGAGAGUGAAAUAGAACCUGAAACCGUAUACCUACAAGCGGUCGGAGCUCCACUUUGGUGGGGUGACGGCGUGCCUUUUGCAUAAUGAGCCAGCGAGUUGCUCGUACGUCGCAAGGUUAAGAAUGAACAUUCGGAGCCGAAGCGAAAGCAAGUCUGAACAGGGCGUUCAGUGGCGUGCGGCAGACCCGAAACUGAGUGAUCUAGCCAUGACCAGGAUGAAGUCCCGGUAACACGGGAUGGAGGUCCGAACCCACUUCGGUUGAAAACGGAGGGGAUGAGUUGUGGUUAGGGGUGAAAGGCCAAUCAAACUCAGAGAUAUCUGGUUCUCGCCGAAAUGCGUUUAGGCGCAGCGUUGUAUUAGUGUACCGGGGGUAGAGCACUGAAUGGGCUAGGGGGCCUACAAGCUUACCAACCCCAAUCAAACUCCGAAUACCGGAUACAUGAUGUACAGCAGUGAGGCUGCGGGCGAUAAGGUUCGUAGCCGAGAGGGAAACAACCCAGAUCAACAGCUAAGGUCCCAAAGUCAAUGCUAAGUGAAAAAGGAUGUCAAAUCGCCCAGACAGCUAGGAGGUUGGCUUAGAAGCAGCCAUCCUUUAAAGAAAGCGUAACAGCUCACUAGUCGAGGGGUUUUGCGCCGAUAAUAACCGGGACUAUAAGCAUUGCACCGAAGCUUUGAACUCAAUUUAUUGAGUGGUAGGCGAGCGUUCCAUCCACCGUUGAAGGUUGACCCGUGAGGGCAGCUGGAGGAAAUGGAAAUGAGUAUGCUGGCAUGAGUAGCGUUAAACAUAGUGAAAUUCUAUGUCACCGUAAGCCCAAGGUUUCCUGAGUAAAGUAACUCUGCUCAGGGUUAGUCGGACCCUAAGCCGAGGCCGAAAGGCGUAGGCGAUGGAAAACGGGUAAAAUAUUCCCGUACCAGCGAUUAAUUGUUUGANCUAAGGGGGGACGCAGGAGUGAAAGNUNAGCNCGGUAUUGAAUGUCCGNGUCUAAGCANGUAGGGNGAUCUNGUAGGUAAAUCCGCUGGAUCUUAUANCCUGAGAUGCGAAUGGGAAGCGCGCCUUCGGGCAAGCCAACUAACCCUAAUCAGACUGCCAAGAAAAUCCUCUAUGUNAGAAUAAUAGCUGACCGUACCGUAAACGGACACACGUGGGCGGCGAGAGUAUCGUAAGGUGCUUGGGAGAAUCAUGGUUAAGGAACUCGGCAAAAUGNCCCCGUAACUUCGGGAGAAGGGGUGCCCUNAUUANGUAANGAUCUUCGCGAUCNGAGCUGAAAAGGGCCGCAGUGAAGAGGCCCAAUCGACUGUUUAACAAAAACACAGGUCUAUGCUAAGUCGUAAGACGAAAUAUAUGGACUGACACCUGCCCGGUGCCGGAAGGUUAAAUGGAGAGGUUAGCUUUCGAGCGAAGCUUUGAAAUGAAGCCCCGGUAAACGGCGGCCGUAACUAUAACGGUCCUAAGGUAGCGAAAUUCCUUGUCGGGUAAGUUCCGACCUGCACGAAUGG